This is a long non-coding RNA of Zea mays, 1711 nucleotides long. RefSeq annotates it as MIR156bHG. NCBI's taxonomy places the organism in Eukaryota, Viridiplantae, Streptophyta, Magnoliopsida, Poales, Poaceae. The record is from RefSeq and is marked validated. The transcript has 2 exons.
ACCACCCAAAUAAGCAUAAAUAGUAGUGGUUGAUUGUGUAAUUCCAGAGAUAUAAACGAAUAUCUCUAGAGAUCUGCCUCAUCAACAGCUGCAGUAUUUGCUAGCCACAUAUAUAUACACAGUUCGACACGUAGUUAUAACGGAAGAGAGAAGCAAAGAGAGAGGCAGAGUGACUGCAACCAUCAGUAGUUCUAUGAUUUUAUUUUUUACCGUUUUGUUGCUGUUUCAUGGUGUUUAUUUGAUUGUAGGGUGGAGGAGAGGUGAAAGCUGACAGAAGAGAGUGAGCACACAUGGUGCCUUUCUUGCAUGAUGUAUGAUCGAGAGAGUUCAUGCUCGAAGCUAUGCGUGCUCACUUCUCUCUCUGUCAGCCAUUAGAACUCCUCUAUCUCUCAAUCUCGAUCUCCCUCUUUCUUUGUUGAUCUCUCCCAUGGUGAUAUUUAUUUGCUUCCUACGUGUUGUGUUCUCUUUCUUCAGCACACACACAACCUGUUCAUGUUACCUUAGGGUUAAAGUUUUUGCACUUUGCGUGAAGAUGGAAAGACAAACAGUAGAUGAGUUUUUUGAAGGUUUGACAGAAGAGAGUGAGCACACACGGUGGUUUCUUACCAUGAGUGUCAUGCUAGGAGCUGUGCGUGCUCACCCUCUAUCUGUCAGUCACUCAUCAAGCCCAUCUGUCUUAUUAGCUUGUUUCCGCUGCUAAUAAAUAUUCUAGACUCAAGUUUAUUUGACACAGAGAUCGAUCGCUAUCUUGUUCGAUGCAUAUAUAUAUAUAUAUAUAGAAGUAUUAUUUACAUGUGCGGAUCUCGUGUAUAUCUUCUUCCUGAUUAGCUGAUGAUCUUAUUCUCAUGUGUAGUUUAUUUGUCUUCGUAUCUAACUUUUUCGCAGGGGCCAAGCCAUGAUUGCGAAGAAAGGAAUGUAAAAGAUGGCUCAGAACUCCAUCACAAAGUCUACAUACGGUCGAAAUAAGAUCUCCAUCAGAUCGGAGAGCUUUAUUUAUUGAUUGUUUUUUUAGAGUUCUAGAGCAAAGCCCAUGUCUUAGCAUUACCAAGACAAAAGAAUAAUCCAUAUAUAUAUCCUUUGGAUGGUUCACAUCCUUCACUCCAGGUUUAAGUUUAACCAACACAAAUAAAAAUAUAUAAUUAAACGACCGGCACAUAGAGACAAAAACUCAAAUCUCCAAGAACAUCUCCACUGUCAGCAGCCUCCAAGGUAAACCAUAAAUUUUCAAUGGAACGAUCAUCAACCACCAGGGAGGAGGAUAUAUAGCCUCUGCUCUUCAAAUCUUCAGGUCUUGUGGCCAGAUUCUUGAGUUUCUCCAGCUUCACUUUGAAGUCCAGUUUCUAUGCCUGAAGGCAGAGCAGCCUCAGCCUUGCUUGUAGCAUGACUGCCAUGUUCAAGAGUAAAGACCUCGUGUCUCUAAGGAACACCAUGAAAACACAGUUGUUUCGUGUCAGUUUCGAAAGCCUCCACAGGGCUGCAAGAAUCAUUUGUGUAGUAGUGGUGGUUGACGUACUCUCUCUCAAAGAAAGAACAUCAUGUUUCUUAGGUUGUUUUUUAGUGCGCCUUCAUUUCAUUCUCUGAAUAUGCCCAUAAGCUUUAGUUGAACAUACUGAUAUGUAAAUUUGGCUCGGUGGCUCACCGUUAUUGCAUGUGCAGAAUUUAUGGCACUGGUCUGAUUUAUAUGAAAAUAUUUUAUAUUGUUGUGGCUUUA